GCCUAAAGCGUCCGUAGCCUGUUCUAUAAGUUUCCGGUUAAAUCCAUUAGCUCAACUAAUGGGCUGCCGAAAAUACUGUAGAACUAGGGAGUGGGAGAGGUAGACGGUAUUCAGUAGGAAGGGGUAAAAUCCUUUGAUCUAUUGAGGACCACCUGUGGCGAAGGCGGUCUACCAGAACACGUUCGACGGUGAGGGAUGAAAGCUGGGGGAGCAAACCGGAUUAGAUACCCGGGUAGUCCCAGCUGUAAACGAUGCAGACUCGGUGAUGCGCUGGCUUGUGGCCAGUGCAGUGCCGCAGGGAAGCCGUUAAGUUUGCCGCCUGGGAAGUACGUACGCAAGUAUGAAACUUAAAGGAAUUGGCGGGGGAGCACCACAAGGGGUGAAGCCUGCGGUUCAAUUGGAGUCAACGCCAGAAAUCUUACCCGAAGAGACAGCAGAAUGAAGGUCAAGCUGGAGACUUUACCAGACAAGCUGAGAAGUGGUGCAUGGCCGUCGCCAGCUCGUGCCGUGAGAUGUCCUGUUAAGUCAGGUAACGAGCGAGAUCCCUGCCUCUAGUUGCCACCAUUACUCUCAGGAGUAGUGGGGCGAAUUAGCGGGACCGCCGCAGUUAAUGCGGAGGAAGGAAGGGGCCACGGCAGGUCAGUAUGCCCCGAA
Molecule: ribosomal RNA, 654 nt
Filed under: uncultured archaeon
Lineage: Archaea
Description: bacterial SSU rRNA
Rfam family: Archaeal small subunit ribosomal RNA
Source: RNAcentral